UACGGAGGGAGCGAGCGUUGUUCGGAAUUACUGGGCGUAAAGGGCGCGUAGGCGGUUUGGUAAGUCAGAUGUGAAAUCCAACGGCUCAACCGUUUGAACUGCAUCUGAUACUGCCAGACUUGAGAACAGUAGAGGAGAGUGGAAUUCCCAGUGUAGCGGUGGAAUGCGUAGAUAUUGGGAAGAACACCGGUGGCGAAGGCGGCUCUCUGGACUGGUUCUGACGCUGAGGCGCGAAAGCUAGGGGAGCGAACAGGAUUAGAUACCCUCGUA
RNAcentral lists this ribosomal RNA (270 nucleotides) under uncultured prokaryote. Its description in RNAcentral is "partial 16S ribosomal RNA". It matches the Rfam family "Bacterial small subunit ribosomal RNA", at positions 524 to 792 of the family's 1533-position model. The record is from RNAcentral.